GGCUAUUAUGAAAAUGUUUAUAGUCUAGCCUGCUCACUGAUAGUUAAUAUUAAAUAGCCGCGGUAUCUUGACCGUGCAAAGGUAGCAUAAUCAUUAGUUUUUUAAUUGAAAACUCGUAUGAAUGGUUGGACAAAGAAGAGACUGUCUCUUUUAUUAAAGUUGAAUUUAACUUCUAAGUGAAAAGGCUUAGAUUUUCUAGAGGGACGAUAAGACCCUAUAAAGCUUUAUAAAUUUAAAAAUUUUAUAUAUUUUUAGAUAACAAUAAUUUUUCGAAUAUUUAUUUGGUUGGGGCGACAAUAGUAUAAUAAGAGUAACUGCUUUUACAUGAAACAGAGAUAUCUGAAUUAUGAUUAAUUGAUCCUUUUUAAAGAUUCUGAGAUCAAGUUACUUUAGGGAUAACAGCGUUAUUUUUUCUGAGAGUCCUUAUCAAAGAAAAAGAUUGCGACCUCGAUGUUGAAUUAAAAUGUCUAUAUAGUGCAGCAGCUAUAAGAGAAGGUCUGUUCGACCUUUAAUAUUUUACAUGAUUUGAGUUCAGACCGGCGUGAGCCAGGUC
RNAcentral lists this ribosomal RNA (553 nucleotides) under Thalamita savignyi. Its description in RNAcentral is "partial 16S ribosomal RNA". It matches the Rfam family "Bacterial large subunit ribosomal RNA", at positions 1824 to 2632 of the family's 2925-position model. Lineage: Eukaryota; Metazoa; Arthropoda; Malacostraca; Decapoda; Portunidae. The record is from RNAcentral.